GGUGAAAAGCACCCCGGAAGGGGAGUGAAAUAGAACCUGAAACCGUGUGCUUACAAGUAGUCAGAGCCCGUUAAUGGGUGAUGGCGUGCCUUUUGUAGAAUGAACCGGCGAGUUACGAUUUGAUGCAAGGUUAAGCAGUAAAUGUGGAGCCGUAGCGAAAGCGAGUCUGAAUAGGGCGUUUAGUAUUUGGUCGUAGACCCGAAACCAGGUGAUCUACCCUUGGUCAGGUUGAAGUUCAGGUAACACUGAAUGGAGGACCGAACCGACUUACGUUGAAAAGUGAGCGGAUGAACUGAGGGUAGCGGAGAAAUUCCAAUCGAACCUGGAGAUAGCUGGUUCUCUCCGAAAUAGCUUUAGGGCUAGCCUCAAGUGAUGAUUAUUGGAGGUAGAGCACUGUUUGGACGAGGGGCCCCUCUCGGGUUACCGAAUUCAGACAAACUCCGAAUGCCAAUUAAUUUAACUUGGGAGUCAGAACAUGGGUGAUAAGGUCCGUGUUCGAAAGGGAAACAGCCCAGACCACCAGCUAAGGUCCCAAAAUAUAUGUUAAGUGGAAAAGGAUGUGGCGUUGCCCAGACAACUAGGAUGUUGGCUUAGAAGCAGCCAUCAUUUAAAGAGUGCGUAAUAGCUCACUAGUCGAGUGACACUGCGCCGAAAAUGUACCGGGGCUAAACAUAUUACCGAAGCUGUGGAUUGUCCUUUGGACAAUGGUAGGAGAGCGUUCUAAGGGCGUUGAAGCAUGAUCGUAAGGACAUGUGGAGCGCUUAGAAGUGAGAAUGCCGGUGUGAGUAGCGAAAGACGGGUGAGAAUCCCGUCCACCGAUUGACUAAGGUUUCC
Molecule: ribosomal RNA, 834 nt
Filed under: Staphylococcus aureus
Lineage: Bacteria; Bacillati; Bacillota; Bacilli; Caryophanales; Staphylococcaceae
Description: partial 23S ribosomal RNA
Rfam family: Bacterial large subunit ribosomal RNA
Source: RNAcentral